Molecule: long non-coding RNA, 1262 nt
Organism: Triticum aestivum (bread wheat)
Lineage: Eukaryota; Viridiplantae; Streptophyta; Magnoliopsida; Poales; Poaceae
Exons: 4
Source: RefSeq, a predicted model, not a curated record
AUAGUAAUUAAUCUAACGGUUGGUCAUAUUACGAUGCUCAGUAAGGUUAAAUAAGUUAUACUGUAAAAUUUUAUGCCUUUGUCGUGCUUGUCAGAAAAGAUGAUAGUAAUAGCAAUAAUAUGCAACUAUUUAUUAGGAAAAACAUCUGUGUGCACUAUAUUUGCAGCACUCAAUUGCAUUGUUGCUUUAAAAAAAUAUGUUAACUUGAGCUAAUUAAUUAGAUAGUAAUUAAUCUAACGGUUGGUCAUAUUACGGAAAAACAUCUGUGUGCACUAUAUUUGCAGCACUCAAUUGCAUUGUUGCUUUAAAAAAAUAUGUUAACUUGAGCUAAUUAAUUAGAUAGUAAUUAAUCUAACGGUUGGUCAUAUUACGAUGCUUAGUAAGGUUAAAUAAGUUAUACUGUAAAAUUUUAUGCCUUUGUCGUGCUUGUCAGAAAAGAUGAUAGUAAUAGCAAUAAUAUGCAACUAUUUAUUAGGAAAAACAUCUGUGUGCACUAUAUUUGCAGCACUCAAUUGCAUUGUUGCUUUAAAAAAAUAUGUUAACUUGAGCUAAUUAAUUAGCACGUGUGUCAGUGCAGUCGCGAGGCAUCCAAAGCACGGAGAGGAUGGGAUGAACUCAACAAUUUCCAAAUUCGACCCUUAUUUGGUCAGGCAAGAUACCUCCAUGAUGAGUAUAUGUGUGCCAAUGAGCAGCUGGUGCAGAUGGUUCUAGCUUAACUCAUGAAUAUGGGAGCAAUAUAUUGAGGCUGCGAAGAAGGUUGUCAUCGAGACAAAGGGCAAGCACGACAAGGAUUAAUGCUUGGCGUAGAGGAAAGGCCUAAGAGAGUUAUCCCCCAUGGGAACAGAGACCGGGAUACAUUGUCUCUCAGGAUAUAUGCAGGAUAUAUGCAGCAGAGAAAGUUUUUUAGAAAAACAAAAAAAGGGGAUUCUCUUCAAUUGGUUUGAUGUUCAAGCUGGAGGAUGAAGAUUGACGGCUUUGAUGUACUGUACGAGAACGAAACAAGCAUCUUGGUGGAAGGCUGUGAGGAUGGAUAUCUUGUGAGGAUAGAUAUGUAGUUGCCUACUACAAGGAGCCAAGGCAGAUGAUGUGCCUCUGAGAUAUAUUCCAGAAAAUAGAGGGAGAAUUUUUUGCUCUCAUAUAGUGAACCAUAGUGUUUCCUCUAUUUAGUUAGUUACAUUAGCUUAUAGGAAACUUGAGUGGUCAUUAGUUUAUAACAGAUGAACUAUUUAUAUGUGAAAAUUAAUGAAUGUGUGUUGGUAUUA